Molecule: ribosomal RNA, 274 nt
Filed under: uncultured bacterium
Lineage: Bacteria
Description: partial 16S ribosomal RNA
Rfam family: Bacterial small subunit ribosomal RNA
Source: RNAcentral
AUACGGAGGAUGCAAGCGUUGUCCGGAAUUACUGGGCGUAAAGGGUCCGUAGGCGGUUGGCCAAGCAUCUUGUGAAAUCCCUCGGCUCAACCGAGGAAUGGCCAGAUGAACUGGUUGACUUGAGCUGCACAGGGGCGACUGGAACUCUAGGUGGAGCGGUGAAAUGCGUAGAUAUCUAGAGGAACGCCGGUGGUGAAAACGGGUCGCUGGGUGCAUGCUGACGCUGAGGUGCGAAAGCGUGGGGAGCGAACGGGAUUAGAAACCCCAGUAGUCC